AUUGAACGCUGGCGGCAUGCCUUACACAUGCAAGUCGAACGGUAACAGGUUAAGCUGCCGAGUGGCGAACGGGUGAGUAAUGUAUCGGAACGUGCCCAGUCGUGGGGGAUAACUGCUCGAAAGAGCAGCUAAUACCGCAUACGACCUGAGGGUGAAAGCGGGGGAUCGCAAGCCCUCGCGCGAUUGGAGCGGCCGAUAUCAGAUUAGGUAGUUGGUGAGGUAAAGGCUCACCAAGCCGACGAUCUGUAGCUGGUCUGAGAGGACGACCAGCCACACUGGGACUGAGACACGGCCCAGACUCCUACGGGAGGCAGCAGUGGGGAAUUUUGGAUAAUGGGCGCAAGCCUGAUCCAGCCAUGCCGCGGGCGGGAAGAAGGCCUUCGGGUUGUAAACCGCUUUUGUCAGGGAAGAAAAGGUUCUGGCUAAUACCUGGGACUCAGGACGGUACCUGAAGAAUAAGCACCGGCUAACUACGU
This 476-nucleotide ribosomal RNA is filed under the name uncultured bacterium. RNAcentral describes it as "partial 16S ribosomal RNA". It matches the Rfam family "Bacterial small subunit ribosomal RNA", at positions 30 to 506 of the family's 1533-position model. The record is from RNAcentral.